Molecule: ribosomal RNA, 485 nt
Filed under: uncultured bacterium
Lineage: Bacteria
Description: bacterial SSU rRNA
Rfam family: Bacterial small subunit ribosomal RNA
Source: RNAcentral
AAUGAACGUUGGCGGCGUGGAUUAGGCAUGCAAGUCGCGCGAGAAGUUUCCUUCGGGAGACGGACAGCGGCGGAAGGGAGAGGAAUAAGUAGAAAUCUGCCCUCGGGACGGGGAUAGCGGCGGGAAACUGCCGGUAAUACCCGAUAACAUCUUUGGAUCAAAUGGUGUGAUUCCGCCUGAGGAUGAGUCUACUUCCUAUUAGCUAGUUGGUGUGGUAAUGGCUCACCAAGGCAACGAUGGGUAGCGGGUGUGAGAGCACGAUCCGCCUCACUGGGACUGAGACACUGCCCAGACACCUACGGGUGGCUGCAGUCGAGAAUCUUCGGCAAUGGGGGAAACCCUGACCGAGCGACGCCGCGUGCGGGAUGAAGGCCCUCGGGUGUAAACCGCUGUCGUAAGGGAACAAAUCUAAGAGGGUACUCCCUUUUAGUUGAGUGAUCUUAGGAGGAAGGACGGGCUAAGUUCGUGCCAGCAGCCGCGGUAAU